CUAUAAGGACUAGGACACAGCUCCCCCAAGGCCUAUGCCAGUAUUAGUUCCUCGGAAAUAAUACUACCAUGAUUUCCUAUUUCCAGAAACCUCAGUGCUGCCACUAAAUGGUUACCUUCUUCAUAUACAUUCAUGUAUCUGAUUACUUCUUUGACAGAACCCUGGCGGGGGGAACCUUAUAUCAAUGAACAGGAAUUAUAAACAGGAAGAACUCAGCUUGAUAGAAUAAAGGAUUUCCUGUGUCUAAAGAUGGAACGGGCUUUGGGUGAGCAUCUGAACUCAUCACUGAAGGUGAUUUAAGCUUAAGAUGUGUGGAGUCUCAGGACAGAAGGGCCAUGGAAGUCUGGGGGCCAUUUGCGGAGGGUUGUAACCUGUAACCUGUAACCUGUAACCUGAAUUGACCUGCACUCCAGGGAUCAAGUUGUGUCUUUCCUUGUUUUUUUGUUUGUUUGUGUUUUUUUCCUAACGUACAGAGGCUUACAGUUUCAUACAUAUCAUUUUCUAAUAGUGAGGCUAUAAUCUAUCUCCCAUCAUUUCUACCUGGUGCACCCUAUUCUUCAGUCACAUGGAGAAGCUCACCAUUUCCCAAACCCGUGAGGCUUCAGUGUCUUUGCAAACACCAAGACCCCUGCCUAGCAAGUCUCUUUUCUCCAUUUACCCUCCCUUCAGUCCCUCUCUUCUUCCAGCCUGUGAAUUUCUUCAGCCUGAACAACUGUGAGC
RNAcentral lists this long non-coding RNA (720 nucleotides) under Pan troglodytes (chimpanzee). RNAcentral's name for it is "long non-coding RNA NONPTRT012239". The record is from RNAcentral. Lineage: Eukaryota; Metazoa; Chordata; Mammalia; Primates; Hominidae.